UGAGUAAUGCGUGACCAACCUGCCCCAUGCUCCAGAAUAGCUCUUGGAAACGGGUGGUAAUGCUGGAUGCUCCAACUUGACGCAUGUCUUGUUGGGAAAGUGUUUAGUGGCAUGGGAUGGGGUCGCGUCCUAUCAGCUUGUAGGCGGGGUAAUGGCCCACCUAGGCUUCGACGGGUAGCCGGCCUGAGAGGGCGGACGGCCACAUUGGGACUGAGAUACGGCCCAGACUCCUACGGGAGGCANCAGUA
This 248-nucleotide ribosomal RNA is filed under the name uncultured Gardnerella sp. RNAcentral describes it as "partial 16S ribosomal RNA". It matches the Rfam family "Bacterial small subunit ribosomal RNA", at positions 107 to 355 of the family's 1533-position model. The record is from RNAcentral. Lineage: Bacteria; Bacillati; Actinomycetota; Actinomycetes; Bifidobacteriales; Bifidobacteriaceae.